GGGGUUAAAUUAAUAAUUUGUGUAAAUGGGAAUAUAUAUAUAUUAUAACUAAUAAAAGAAAUUUUAAUAUUAAAAAGAAAAAAUGGGGGUUGGAGUAUUUUUAAUAGAAAAAAUUAUAAAUUUUAUAGUUAAUUAUUACUGUAAAGGAAAUUAUAAAUAAGUGAAAUUUAAUUAAAUUAAAAGUAAAUUUGAAUUAUUGUAUCUUGUGUAUCAGAGUUUAUUUAAUAAUAAUAUUUAUUUAAAUAAAUCUCGAAUUUAAAAGAGUUAAUUAAUUAAAAAAGUUAAUGUUGAAUAAUUAUUUUUAAUAAUUAAUUAGAAAUGAAAUGUUAAUCGUUUUUAAAUAUAUCUAGUUUUUUUAGAAAAAAAUUUAAUUUUAAAUUAAAAUAAUUUUAUAAUUGAUUAAUUAAUUAUAAAAAUUUAAUAUUUAGUAUUUUAGGGGAUAAGCUUUAAAUUAAAAUAUUAUAGUUAAUUAAAAAAAAAAUUAUUAAAAUUUUUAAAAUUUAUAUUGUUUAAAAAUUAUAAUUUAUUUAUAAAAAAUUUUAAUAAAAAUAAAAUUUUAAUUGUAUUUAAUUUUUUAUAAAAAAAUAAUUUUAAAUAAAAUUAAAUUAGAUAUAAUGAUAAAAUUAGUAUAAUAUACAUAUAUAUAUAUAUAUAUAUAUAUAUAUAUUUACAUAUAUGAAUAUAAAUUAAAAAAAAAUUAAGUUAAAGGAAUUCAGCAAAACUUUAUAUUCACUUGUUUAUCAAAAACAUGUCUUUUUGAAAAUAAUUUAAAGUCUAAUCUGCCCACUGAUAUAAUUAUUAAAGGGCUGCAGUAUAUUGACUGUACAAAGGUAGCAUAAUCAUUAGUCUUUUAAUUGAAGACUUGUAUGAAAGAUUUGAUGAAAUAUAAACUGUCUCUAAUUUAUUAUUAAAAUUUAAUUUUUUAGUGAAAAAGCUAAAAUUUAUUUAAAAGACGAGAAGACCCUAUAGAGUUUUAUAAUUAAAUUAUUAAUUAAUAAAUAUAAAAUAUAAAAUAAUAAUUAAUUUCAUUAUUUUAUUGGGGUGAUAGAAAAAUUAAUUAAACUUUUUUUAUAUAUGUGAACAUUAAUAAGUGAAUAAAUGAUCCAUUAUUUAAUGAUUAUAAGAAAAAAUUACCUUAGGGAUAACAGCGUAAUAUUUUUUUUUAGUACAAAUAAAAAAGAAAGUUUGCGACCUCGAUGUUGGAUUAAGAUAAAAUUUAAAUGUAGAAGUUUAAAAUUUUGAUCUGUUCGAUCAUUAAAAUCUUACAUGAUCUGAGUUCAAACCGGUGUAAGCCAGGUUGGUUUCUAUCUUUAGAAAAAUAAAAUAUUUUA
Molecule: ribosomal RNA, 1331 nt
Filed under: Araschnia burejana
Lineage: Eukaryota; Metazoa; Arthropoda; Insecta; Lepidoptera; Nymphalidae
Description: partial 16S ribosomal RNA
Source: RNAcentral